CUGUGCUUCUCUUAGGAAUGAGUAGGCCUGAAAUAAGGCCUGUCUCUGGCUGAGUGCAGAAGUCAGUUACUCAUAAAGAAAAUCUGAGGGUGAGAAAUUGGCCUGUUGCCUGCACUGUCCAGAGCACGGCCUUCACAGGCAUUCAGAAGAUACUGGAGGUGACCACAGCCUUCCACCCCAGAAGGCUCUCACAAAAAAAGGAGGGCUUUGAGAUCUACUCUGUGGCAAGUGUGGUGCCGCAGGUCCUCAAUACAUUGCACAGCCACACCUGUGUGUUUUCCAGUGCUGUGACUGACAGAGAUCAGGGGUUUAGGGGGUGACUUCACCUGUGGAGUCAGUUUCAGUGCUUGCAGUGAGGAGGAAAGAGUUUUGGGAGGGCAGCUCUUUGUGUAGCAACAACCAGGAAAGACUGCUUCUCAUAGAAGUAAAGAAAUUAUUUGUCAGCUGGUCAGAGAUCUCAGCCCUGGGCUCAUAAGGUUUACUUCUACACAGCUCUGAGAGACACAAGCAGUUUCCUGUCAUGAAAACCAUCUGUCUUGCUUUUGGGGUCUUUGUUCCCAGAGAUGGGGUCUCUGCUCCCACUGGCCUGGAGUUAGCUUCCCCCUUCAUCAGGUGCCCCAGCAGUUGGGGAAACCAAGUUGCAUCAAGUUCAAGGAACAGGUCUCCAUUUGCACAGUGUCUGUAGCAGAACCAGGACCAGAAUUUUUGAUCUUUGACUGUUGCUCUAGAUGCUCAACUACUUUGUACUCUGUGCUUUGUUUGGGUGGAAGGAGACUUGCCUGAAACCUGGCAUGGGUCUCUAGUGAUUGGAAGCUGCCACUCUGACAGUUAUUUAAUGUUUCAGAAGCAAGGAGCUGGUGGGAAAAACUCUGCCAUUUGGUACAGAAGAAGGUUUGUUCCUCCAUUAGUUAAGGAUUUUGUGGCACCUGGCUUGGAUUCAGCCAACCGGACAAAGAGGAAACAGACCUCACAUCUUGACCUUCCUCCUUCACCCAGGGCAGAUGAGAUGGUCUGUGGUGUUGGAUCGUCACAUGCUGAAGCCAUUUCUGAUUCCAUCACACCGCUGUGCUUGUCCAGUUCUAUCAAAAUUCAUUUGUUAUUUUCUAUGUUACUGUUACUGUGAUACCAUGAAUAGGACAUAUAGCAAUCAAAGUAGUAAUGACAUACAGUAAUUAACAUAAUACAGUUCAAAUCAUGGCAUAUUCUUACCCCUUAUUAAAUGCUCUUGAGGUACAAAUCGGACUUCCCCAUUAUUCUUCAUUACCUACCAAGUGCACCCAGGUCCCUGAGCAAAAGCAAUCCCACAGAUGAGUUUGCCUUUCCCUGAGGCAGGAAUAGCCCAGACUACCUUCCCCAGCAGGUUCUUUAUGAGCAGCACUACAGGGACUUUAUCCCCUUCUACAGUACGUAAGAGGUUUGAUUGGGCAGGUCCAGCUCAGUUGGCAGAUCCCCCAGUGCUGACUAACCAGGUGGCUUUUGCUAAGCAUGUAUCCCAAAGUUUGAAUGUGCCAGAACACAUUGCUAUCAGUGUAGCCUUUAAUAGCCUGUUAUAAUAUUCAAUUUUCCCAGAGACUCAUGCAUAAUAAGGGGUGUGAUAUACCCACUCAAUACCAUGCUCUUUGGCCCAGGUGUCUAUGAGGCUCUUUGUUUGCUUGGUUUGGUUAUGGUUUAAAUAGACUGACUCAUGAUCAAGAAGUCUGACAUUCAGCAUCCAGGUUCCACCUCCACAGAAGCAACCUCUUCGUGAAGUUACUAAUUUCAAGUAGUGUUGAGCGUUGAUUUAGAUUAGACAUAAGAAAGACUUUCUUUACUCUGAGGGUGGUGAGGCAGUCAAACAGGUUGCCCAGAGAAGCUGUGGAUGCCCCAUCCCCAGAAAUGUUCUAGGCCAGGCUGGAUGGGCCAUUGGGCAAUGCGUUCUAGUGGAAGGUGUCCCAGCUCAUGUUGGGGGGGUUGGAACUAGAUGAUCCUUAAGGGUCCUUUCCAACUCCAAUCAUUCUGUGAUUCAAGUAAGUGAUGAUGAUACAGGACAGCACAUAGUGUAAAUGUUUUUGUGGAGUUUAUGAUGUUUGUUAAAUAGGAAAAUCCUUUAUAGCAUUAUACUUCUCACAUUGUAUCAUUCAAAAUAAUCAAAAAGACUUUUCAUACUGCAUCCUUUGCUAGUGAUCAUGCAUUCCUGAUGUAUAAUUGAAAGCAUAAAUCACUUUAAGGACAUAUAUUGCAUUAUGUUGUGGGUGGAAGUCCUGAGUCUCACAAUCUGUUGUAAUCACUGCUGUGUUAUGACUGCUGUGCAUACUUCUCUGAGGAGAGAAACCUCAUCCUGGGGUAAAGCAAGUACAAACGUAAUAAAUAAAUAAAUUUGCAAAGGGAGUGUCCCCA
This 2376-nucleotide long non-coding RNA is filed under the name Anser cygnoides (Swan goose). Its description in RNAcentral is "lncRNA (ENSACDG00005016721.1)". Lineage: Eukaryota; Metazoa; Chordata; Aves; Anseriformes; Anatidae. The record is from RNAcentral.